Molecule: ribosomal RNA, 426 nt
Filed under: uncultured Verrucomicrobiaceae bacterium
Lineage: Bacteria; Pseudomonadati; Verrucomicrobiota; Verrucomicrobiia; Verrucomicrobiales; Verrucomicrobiaceae
Description: bacterial SSU rRNA
Rfam family: Bacterial small subunit ribosomal RNA
Source: RNAcentral
CGAGAAUCAUUCACACUGGGGGAAACGCUGAUGGUGCGACGCCGCGUGGAGGACGAAGGCCCUAGGGUCGUAAACUCCUGUCAUCAGAGCGUAAGGAUUGUACACUAACACGGUGCACGCUUGAUAGUAUCUGACGAGGACGGGACGGCUAACUCCGUGCCAGCAGCCGCGGUAAUACGGAGGUCCCAAGCGUUAUUCGGAAUCACUGGGCGUAAAGCGUGUGUAGGCGGUUUGGUAAGUCAGAUGUGAAAGGCAGGAGCUCAACUCCUGGACUGCAUCCGAUACUGCCAUACUAGAGGAUCGAAGGGGAGUCUGGAAUUCAUGGUGUAGCAGUGAAAUGCGUAGAUAUCAUGAGGCACACUAGUGGCGAAGGCGAGACUCUGGGAGAUACCUGACGCUGAGACACGAAGGCCAGGGGAGCGAACA